GGCUGGUUGCCCGAGCGGCCAAAGGGAUCUGACUGUAAAUCAGACGGCUCAGCCUUCGGGGGUUCGAAUCCCUCACCAGCCA
This 82-nucleotide transfer RNA is filed under the name Promicromonospora sukumoe. It matches the Rfam family "tRNA". From Rfam's summary of the family: Transfer RNA (tRNA) molecules are approximately 80 nucleotides in length. Lineage: Bacteria; Bacillati; Actinomycetota; Actinomycetes; Micrococcales; Promicromonosporaceae. The record is from Rfam by way of RNAcentral. RNAcentral also lists the same sequence under 19 other names.